Molecule: unclassified non-coding RNA, 402 nt
Filed under: uncultured Diversispora
Lineage: Eukaryota; Fungi; Glomeromycota; Glomeromycetes; Diversisporales; Diversisporaceae
Description: sequence contains 28S rRNA gene
Source: RNAcentral
AGUUAAAUAGUACGUGAAAUUGUUGAAAGGGAAACGAUUGAAGUCAGUCAUGCUAGUGAAAAAUCAGUUUGACGGGUUUUGAGUUCGGGAGUAGAGGCAGGGUCAAACCGUUUCUCUUUUGGACUUGGGAUUUGUCGGAUGUACUUUUUCUUUGGCAGGUCAGCGUCGGUUUCGGAGGUUGUAAAAUACUUGGGGGAAAGUAGCUCUGCUUCGGGAGAGUAUUAUAGACCCUGGGGGAUGCAGCCUGUGGGAUCGAGGAUUGCAGCAAAUGCCUUUGGCUUGUCGCCUGAUCUCUGGAUGUUACCUUGCUUGUGACAACAUUCUUGCCACCGGUGAGUACUGAUGCCCAUUAGGUUAGAACGAUCAAAAAUUUGCUAAGGAUGCUGACGUAAUGGCUUUAAA